ACCAGCACUAAGUCAGCUGCCCAGGCGACAUGUCUGGCUCAGUGUUACAGUGCUGGAAGAGGAAGUCUCUGCAUAUGUCAUCGGCGCUGCAGGUUCUGUUCUAGAACCUGCCGUUGCUGAACGGCUGCAGAGCGUAGCCCGACGAGAGUGGCCCGUCCUGGACUCUCACCUGAACGGGCCUAGUGCUGGGCUAUACAUG
Small nucleolar RNA from Syngnathus acus (greater pipefish), 199 nucleotides. RefSeq annotates it as small nucleolar RNA SNORA74. The transcript has a single exon. Lineage: Eukaryota; Metazoa; Chordata; Actinopteri; Syngnathiformes; Syngnathidae. The record is from RefSeq and is a predicted model, not a curated record.